RNAcentral lists this ribosomal RNA (254 nucleotides) under uncultured bacterium. RNAcentral describes it as "partial 16S ribosomal RNA". It matches the Rfam family "Bacterial small subunit ribosomal RNA", at positions 524 to 776 of the family's 1533-position model. The record is from RNAcentral.
UACGUAGGAGGCGGGCGUUGUCCGGAAUUACUGGGCGUAAAGAGCGCGUAGGCGGCGCGGUACGACCGCUGUGAAAGCCCCCAGCUCAACUGGGGAGGUCAGCGGUAACGGCCGUGCUAUGAGUGCAGGAGAGGGAAGUGGAACUCCGGGAGUGAGCGGUGAAUGCGUAGAGACCCGGAGGAACACCAGUGGCGAAGGCGGCUUCCUGGUCGUGCGACUGACGCUGUGGCGCGAAAGCUAGGGGAGCAAACGGG